This 301-nucleotide ribosomal RNA is filed under the name uncultured bacterium. RNAcentral's name for it is "partial 16S ribosomal RNA". It matches the Rfam family "Bacterial small subunit ribosomal RNA", at positions 509 to 809 of the family's 1533-position model. The record is from RNAcentral.
CAGUAGCCGCGGUAAAACGGAGGAUCCAAGCGUUAUCCGGAAUCAUUGGGUUUAAAGGGUCCGUAGGCGGUCUUGUAAGUCAGUGGUGAAAGCCCAUCGCUCAACGGUGGAACGGCCAUUGAUACUGCAGGACUUGAAUUAUUGGGAAGUAACUAGAAUAUGUAGUGUAGCGGUGAAAUGCUUAGAGAUUACAUGGAAUACCAAUUGCGAAGGCAGGUUACUACCAAUUGAUUGACGCUGAUGGACGAAAGCGUGGGUAGCGAACAGGAUUAGAUACCCCCGUAGUCCCUGUCUCUUAUAA